GGGAAAAUGAGGGGGGAAAUUGGGAAAAAUGAUGAAAAAUGAGGGGGAAAUGUCAAAAAAUUGGAAAAAUGAGGGAAAAAUUGGAAUUGAGGAGAAAAAAAGAUGGAAAAUGAGGGGGAAAUUGGGAAAUGAGGGGGAAAAUUGGGAAAAAAAGAUGGAAAAUGAGGGAGAAAAUCUAAAAAAUGUGGGAAAAUUGGGGGGAAUUGAAAAAUGAGGGGGAAAAUUGGAAAAUGAGGAGGAAAUUUGACAAAUGAGGGGGAAAUUGGGAAAUGAGGAGGAAAAUGAGGUGGAAAAAUACCAAAAUUAAGUGGAAAAAUAUGAAAAUUAAGUGGAAAAAUACCAAAAUUAGGUGGGAAAAUUCAAAAAUUAGGUGGGAAAAUACCAAAAUUAAGUGGGAAAAUAUCAAAAUUAAGUUGAAAAAUACCAAAAUUUGGUGGGAAAAUACCAAAAUUAGGUGGAAAAAUACCAAAAUUAGGUGGAAAAAUUCCAAAAUUAGGUGGAAAAUAAUUGGAAUGAGGGGAAAAAAAAUGGGAUCGGGGGAAUUCCCAUCCGGACACGACAAAUUCGGGAUUUGGGGUGGGAUGAGUUUAUUUCCAAUGGAAUCAGAGCAGAAUUAAAAAAAAACCCCAAAAUCCAACUUUUCCCUCCCCCAAAUUCCCUCGUUCCCGGUUUUUCCAGCGGAGUUUUCCAUGGAUUUCUCCAUCCCACUGUGAGUUUUCCACGGAUUUCUCAUUUUUGGGAGUUUUCCAUGGAUUUCUCAUUUUUGGGAGUUUUCCGUGGAUUUCUCAGCAAUGGGAAAAGUCUUCCAUGGAUUUCUCGUUUUUGGAAGUUUUCCAUGGAUUUCUCAUUUUUGGGAGUUUUCUGUGGAUUUCUCGGCGAUGGGAAAGAGUUUUCCAUGGAUUUCUCAGCGAUGGGAAAGAGUUUUCCAUGGAUUUCUCAUUUAUGUGAAGGAGUUUUCCGCGGAUUUCUCCGAGACGUCGUUCCCGGGGUUGAUCCUUUGGGAAUUUCCUGCUCUGUGGGAUUCCUGCCAGGAACCUGCUCCUUUUUCCAUGGAUCCACAGCUCCUUGCCAAGGAAUUUUGGGAAUUUCCAGUCCAGCAGCUCGGAAUCGUCUCCGGAGUCGUUCCAGCCCCGGAGCUUCCCCGAAUUUGGCCACAAAAAGGCAAUUCUGAUGGGAAAAUAACGGGAUGGGACGGAGAAAAAAAUGAAAUGGGAGGAAAAAUAACGGGAUGA
This 1232-nucleotide long non-coding RNA is filed under the name Taeniopygia guttata (zebra finch). RNAcentral describes it as "lncRNA (ENSTGUG00000022638.1)". The record is from RNAcentral. Lineage: Eukaryota; Metazoa; Chordata; Aves; Passeriformes; Estrildidae.